RNAcentral lists this long non-coding RNA (240 nucleotides) under Physcomitrium patens. Its description in RNAcentral is "long non-coding RNA (PPAT_LNC009706)". Lineage: Eukaryota; Viridiplantae; Streptophyta; Bryopsida; Funariales; Funariaceae. The record is from RNAcentral.
GCCAGUGACACAGAUAUGGUUCCAUGUACUGCUCAUUUGUGCAGUGUGUCUUCGAUCUGGCUUGGACAGAUGUUCGUGGUGCUGACAGAUGGAAACUUUGCGAAAAAUCCUGGAUUCAACAACGAUUCGACACUUCUACACAUGGCCGCAUCCCUAAACUCGGAAAACGUAACGGUGUUCUUCUUCAGCUUAGGGGUAAACAUGACUCCAGAUCCACUUCUCGAGCUCCGGAGUUUAUCU